GACAGAGGGUGCAAACGUUGUUCGGAAUUACUGGGCGUAGAGCGUGUGUAGGCGGCCACGUAAGUCGGAUGUGAAAGCCCCAGGCUCAACCUGGGAAGUGCACUCGAUACUGCGUGGCUUGAGUAUCGGAGAGGUUGGUGGAAUUCUCGGUGUAGAGGUGAAAUUCGUAGAUAUCGAGAGGAACACCGGUGGCGAAGGCGGCCAACUGGACGAAUACUGACGCUGAGACACGAAAGCGUGGGGAGCAAACGGG
Molecule: ribosomal RNA, 253 nt
Filed under: uncultured bacterium
Lineage: Bacteria
Description: partial 16S ribosomal RNA
Rfam family: Bacterial small subunit ribosomal RNA
Source: RNAcentral